GCAUAAUAUGUUUCAAUUAUCAACAAAUGUAAAAUGAAUUAUAUUUUAUGAUAAUAUAAAAUGUUCCUACUGCAAAUGCUUUAUAACUUUAAAAUGCAAACUACCUAGAAAAAAAUGUAGAGCUGUAGAAUUUUUAAAAAUUAAAUGUAGCAUGAAUUAUGUAGCCCAAGUGGAAUACAGAGAUAGUCUCCUUUAUUCUCCCAUUAGAAACUCACAUCAUAUAUAGUAUUUCAGAUUGAGAUGAUAGUAAAGUAUAAUAUUUGCUAUUUAUCGUUAUAAUUUACAAAUUAAACAACAUAAUAUUAUUAGGGGAAAAUUGGACAACCAUGGCUUUUUCCUUUUCCAGAUAACUUCUGCCAGCCAACAGCCAAUUCCAAUGGAUCAUUUAAACAGUCUAUGACUACUUUACGUUCUUAGAACCCUGUCCAGCUCUGCAGUCUGGCAAAAUACGUUAUUUCCCCAGUGAUAUCAAACUGGGAGAACGACUGGAAAGGUUUUGCAACAGGGCCAAGAUCUCACGGUAUUCCUCUCUUUAACUGGGGUCUAGGAGAAACCCAGAUUUCCCUCAACAGAUAAUCAUUGUAACUAUCAAUGGCACGCCCGGAAGCUAUGCUGUCAUUCUGAAUAGAUCUGUUUGACUUAUCACUUAAAAGUAAGUGUUUUCACACAUGAAAACAGAAAUUCAGAUUUUAAUUAACCCAGUGAAUUUGCCUGAAAAUAUGCUUCCUGGAACACAGCUAAGUCGUGCUUAUGAUAAAGAUGUGGCUGGAAAGGGAGAUGUCUGCCGUUUUCUGAAUAAAACAAAAGAUUUUGUCAUCGAUGCAAGUUCUGGUGUCAUCACUGCUACCAAAAUUUUUAAUUAUGAAACAGAUCCAAUAAGGUUUCUUCUGAUAGUUGAUACUAGGCUGUCUAGACAUGUUUUGACCAUUAAUAUUAUUGAUGUUCCUGAAUCUCCAAACUGUACUGCUGAUCCCAAAUUUUCUUCAGGUACAGCUACCUUAGAAAUUGAUGAGAACUAUCCAUUAUUUCAGUUCAUUUAUAGAGUGACGGCCACAGAUGAGGACUUCGCAAAUGGUGAUUGGCUGAAUUACACCAUUGAGACACAGUUAUCUGGACCAAAGAAAGGAGCAAACUCUUUUGGAGUGGAUCCUGUAAGUGGUGUUGUUAGUGUAAGAGGUGAAGAUCCCCUGGAUUUUGAUGCUGGAUAUCAUGUAAUUAAAAUGUGUAUUUAUUUUUCCAUGCAGAAUGAAACAGGAUUUGUAUCACUUUGAGUUCUUCAUGAAAAAUUAGACACCUUGUUAUUUUGAAGGAAGAUUAAUAUUUUGUGUCAUUCAUUUGUGAGGAUUUCUGCAGUUAACCAAAAGCCUACAUUCAAUCUUUAUGGUUACUGGAAAUAUAGAGAUUAUGUCUUAACAUUUUAGUUCUACCAAAAAAAGUUUAUGAAAAAAACAAUUAAGUGUCAUUUUAAUCCGGGAAAACCAAAUCAGUAAAUCAUUACAAUGUAAAUCUUUCUGAACAUCAAAGAAAUGAAAGAAACUUAAAUCAGUCAAGUUUUCAUGUUGAAACUAUUAUGAUUCAUAUACCCUACCCCAUUUAGAGUGUUAACUCACUUAAGUAGCCAAGGUAAGGUUGGGCAUAAACCUUAUAGGUGAAUUUGAAACUAACAUGGUAAGAAAGAAUAGUAUAUGGUAUUUACAUGAGAAAUAUAAUUUAAGGAAAAUAUUCAGGAAUGAUUUUUCUGAGUGGAAAAUGAAUGAUAUGUAAGUAUGAACAUCUGACUGGAAAGAAACCAGCUACUGGAGAUAGUCUGUCCACAUGGAAAUGAAGUGGGUAGUUCGAUAAAUAAAGGUUGGUAUUAUUGUGAUCAUAAAAUAAUGUUUUACAACACUGUAAAAAAAAUUUCUAUUUUCAGAAGUGUCUUCAAAUUUACUAUUUCUAUUGAAAUAGUAAAUUGAGAAAAUAGGUAAUUGAGAAAAUAGGAAGAAGGGAAAAAUGCGAGAGAUUAGAGUAAAAAUAGAGAAUUUGCUGCUGAUAAGAUAAUUUGAGGGAAGAGUUAAUAGUUAAAAAUCUUAACUUUCUGGCCUGAAAGAACAUAAGAAAGUCAAUGAAUUCUAUUUAAAUUUCAAUUUGAUGUGUUGUAUGUCAGAGGAUGGUGGAGAGGUCAAUGAUACAUACCUUUUAAGCAGCUUGAGUAUUAGGACUACAAUAUGAGAUAGGUUAGAUGGAAGAUAAAUGGACAUCAUGCAUAUAAACCGUUCAGCUCCACAUCUCUGAUUCUUUCUGGGCCUCUUCACUUCCUACCUUGACCAACAUUCAACCUAUCUCCUACUAAGUCCUUUAAGAUCACUUUCAUCUUUCCACUGCAUAACUCAUCGAUUCAUUAUAUGACAUCUGACAUGUAAUUACCUAUCCAAGGGACUGAAGUUUGGUACAAUCAUUGUCAGCCCUUUCCUCAGCAUGGAGUCUUAUACACUGUAGAGUUUUAUUGAAUAUCUGCUCAAAAAGGGUUUUUAGUGGAUACUUACUGCCUCAGUGGUGUUUGGUUUUUGUUUUUGUUUUCAAAAGGGCAUUUCCUGAUAUGAGUAAAUGGUUUCUAAGGGGUGAGAUGGGUGACAGGCUGAGGAGAAGAAUAUUCAAUGUUUGAUGACAUUCUCAACUGUUCAGAAAUUCCUUGUGUCAUAGAUCCCAAAGAGUAGCCCAUCUUCCUAUUUCUGGGGUUUAGCAUCAAACAGCUUGCUUUGUCAAUAGUUUCGGUGCACUGGAUGAGGCAUAUAACCAAGCUACACAGACUUUUGAGUGAAAUUUAAUGGCAUAUGAAAUGAAGCAACUUAUAAUGAAUCUAAGAAAGAUAAGUAAAUGCAAGUAAGAAAUCGCUUGUAUUUCUUUUAGCUAAUGAGAAGAAAAAUAAGAAUCUAGUUGGAGAAAACAAAACAAAAACCUAACAGGAUGCAUAUUGUGAAACUAUAUAUGUAUUACAAAGUAGCAUUUUGUAAAGUUUUAAAAAACUCUUUUCCAGGUUUUCCACCUUGUACUGAAAGCAACAGAUACAACAUGUCUGUUCUGUCAAGGAACACUAAUUAUCUUGAUUGAAACAUAAAUGAUGAGAAGCCUCAAUUUGAGUAAGCAUAUUUAUUUCAAGGUAUAUAUAUAGGAGAAUGGUUAAAAUAAACUUUUCACAUAUACAGUCGGCCCGUGGUGUCUGUGGGGCAUGCAUUCCAGGACUCCCCUGAAUACCAAAAGCUAUCGAUGCUCAAGAAUCUUUUAUAAUGUUGUAUUAUUUUCUUUUUCUUUUCUUUUUUUUUUUUUUUUUAAAGACAGUCUCACUCUGUCGCCCAGGCUGGAGUGCAGUGACGCAAUCUUGGCUUACUGCAACCUCCACCUCCUGGGUUUAAGCAAUUGCCUCAGCCUCCUGAGUGGAGUAGCUGGGACUACAGGUGUGCGCCACCACGCCCGGCUAAUUUUUGUAUUUUUAGUAGAGCUGGGGUUUCACCAUGUUGGCCAGGCUGGUCUUGAACUCCUGACUUCAAAUGAUCCAAUCCACCCACCUCGGCCUCCCAAAGUGCUGGGAUUAUAGGUGUGA
Long non-coding RNA from Macaca nemestrina (pig-tailed macaque), 3580 nucleotides. Lineage: Eukaryota; Metazoa; Chordata; Mammalia; Primates; Cercopithecidae. The record is from Ensembl.